AAUCCAUAGGUUAAUGAGGCGAACCGGGGGAACUGAAACAUCUAAGUACCCCGAGGAAAAGAAAUCAACCGAGAUUCCCCCAGUAGCGGCGAGCGAACGGGGAGGAGCCCAGAGCCUGAAUCAGCAUGUGUGUUAGUGGAAGCGUCUGGAAAGGCGCGCGAUACAGGGUGACAGCCCCGUACACAAAAGCGCAUGUGCUGUGAGCUCGAUGAGUAGGGCGGGACACGUGGUAUCCUGUCUGAAUAUGGGGGGACCAUCCUCCAAGGCUAAAUACUCCUGACUGACCGAUAGUGAACCAGUACCGUGAGGGAAAGGCGAAAAGAACCCCGGCGAGGGGAGUGAAAAAGAACCUGAAACCGUGUACGUACAAGCAGUGGGAGCACAGGUUUACCUGUGUGACUGCGUACCUUUUGUAUAAUGGGUC
This 424-nucleotide ribosomal RNA is filed under the name Salmonella enterica subsp. enterica serovar Infantis. RNAcentral's name for it is "partial 23S ribosomal RNA". It matches the Rfam family "Bacterial large subunit ribosomal RNA", at positions 161 to 621 of the family's 2925-position model. Lineage: Bacteria; Pseudomonadati; Pseudomonadota; Gammaproteobacteria; Enterobacterales; Enterobacteriaceae. The record is from RNAcentral. RNAcentral also lists the same sequence under 9 other names.